Molecule: ribosomal RNA, 169 nt
Filed under: Gymnosarda unicolor (dogtooth tuna)
Lineage: Eukaryota; Metazoa; Chordata; Actinopteri; Scombriformes; Scombridae
Description: partial small subunit ribosomal RNA
Source: RNAcentral
CACCGCGGUUAUACGAGGGGCUCAAAUUGAUAUUACACGGCGUAAAGCGUGAUUAAAAAACAAACAAACUAAAGCCAAACACUUCCCAAGCUGUCAUACGCUACCGGACAAAACGAAGCCCCAUUACGAAAGUAGCUUUAACACCUUUGAACUCACGACAGUUGAGAAA